GGGAACUACCUCCUUCGUUUGUUGCUAAAGAACGGAAGAAGGAGGGAGACGAGGCUGGGAGACAGGGAGCGCCUCCGAGUGGCGGAGCAAUAGCCGCGUCCCACUUGGCGGGGGUCCCGCCAGUUCCGCUAGUUGUCCCCGCCUCUGCCCUUCCCCCCGGGAAUUCUAGCCCCGGGAAACAAGGCGCUGGCGAUACAUGCCUGGAAGGCUGGCACCGGCAUCUCUCAGAUGGGCCCAGGGCGUCCCGCCGCCGCCGAAACAGAGCUUCCCGCGGGCCCCGCAGAGUCCCAGGCAGGGCCGGGAUCUGGCCCCCAGCCCCGCGUCACGCGCGCGGCUUCCCCGGGGGCGGCCAGAGCGUGCGCGUGCCGGAGGAGGCCCCCGCCGCCCGCCAGCUGCUGGAAGACCUCAGGCGGCGGCUGGCGAGCGCCUUCCAGCGGGCGGCGGCGCGCGAGCAGCAGAGCCGGGCGUGCUUCGAGGGCGCACUGGGCCGGCUGAGCGCCGAGCUGUUUUAGCUGGAAAUGCAUUUCCAAAAUCGCCAACUGGUCAGAACUGUACUGGAUUUAAACAUGAAAAUGCAGCAAUUGAAAAAGGAGUAUGAACUGGAAAUUGCAUCAAAAUCUCAAAGCUCAGAAGAUAAUUCUCUGAAUCGGGAAUAAGGAAAUGCACGCUUGAAGAUCAGAACCCUAAAAAUAACAUAGACAUCUCUGAAACAGUUCUGACAGUAACAUCAUGCAUGCCUUGCAUAAGAUUUUAGGGGCAAUUUGUAGGCCCAAACUUAGAUGCCAUGGGGAAGUGACAGAAAAUGUCUAAGAGGGAAGAGAUAGAAAAUGAUAUAUGACCAAGUUUUGGCCGAGAAGUGAAAAAAAUAUGUACUGAAGAAUGCUUUAAUGCCAAUUUCUAGUAUGCUAUUUUGUGCCACCUUAACUUUCUGGCAUUGCCUGAACUUUCGGAAUCUGUGCAUGUUUUUAUUUUACUUGAUUAUUCUUGGCUUGUCUGUCCAGUUAGUUAUUCUGUAGCUACCCCCCGCCCCCCACCACUAAGUAUCCCACUAUCCAUCUCCCCACGGAUAUAGUCAUGCAGAUCAAGCCAGGUUGAUCAGCUUGUCUCAGGAGUUUUUGAACUAGAACUAAGGGAGUAGAUGAGUAUUUCCUGAUGGUAGAAACUGUGCAAUAGCGGGGUUUGGAAGCUGCUGGUGGCCACCACGUGAGAAAGUGUGAGCUCUAAUGAAGGAGGUUGAAACUGUACCGCUGGGAGGACAGAAAAAGACGGAAAGAACUGAACUUCCUUGUCCCUGGGGUCGAGCUGUCUAAAACCCCAGCCCUUGCUGUCAUCUAGAUAUCUGAAAAUACUCUAAUAGCCUCCUAAUAAAGUCUCCUUUUGCCUAAGUCAAUUGAGUUGGACUUUUAUGACUUGUACUCAAAAGAUUCUUGACUAACACAAUUCCUUUGUUUACGCUUUUAGGAGUUAAAAUGGUUCUUGUUGAAUUAGAAUAUCUACCUCUAAACCCUGAAAGUGCUGCCUUCUUAGUGCAGAG
Molecule: long non-coding RNA, 1534 nt
Filed under: Equus caballus (horse)
Lineage: Eukaryota; Metazoa; Chordata; Mammalia; Perissodactyla; Equidae
Description: lncRNA (ENSECAG00000056018.1)
Source: RNAcentral